CAUAUCAAUAAGCGGAGGAAAAGAAACCAACAGGGAUUGCCCUAGUAACGGCGAGUGAAGCGGCAACAGCUCAAAUUUGAAAUCUGGCUCUUUCAGGGUCCGAGUUGUAAUUUGCAGAGGGCGCUUUGGCGUUGGCAGCGGUCCAAGUUCUUUGGAACAGGACGUCACAGAGGGUGAGAAUCCCGUACGUGGUCGCUAUCCUUCGCCGUGUAAAGCCCCUUCGACGAGUCGAGUUGUUUGGGAAUGCAGCUCUAAAUGGGAGGUAAAUUUCUUCUAAAGCUAAAUACUGGCCAGAGACCGAUAGCGCACAAGUAGAGUGAUCGAAAGAUGAAAAGCACUUUGGAAAGAGAGUCAAAUAGCACGUGAAAUUGUUGAAAGGGAAGCGCUUGCAGCCAGACUUGCCUGUAGUUGCUUAUCCGGACUCUUGUCCGGUGCACUCUUCUAUGGGCAGGCCAGCAUCAGUUUGGGCGGUUAGAUAAAGGUCUCUGUCACGUACCUCUCUUCGGAGUGGCCUUAUAGGGGAGCCGCCAUGUAACCAGCCCAGAUUGAGGUCCGCGCAUCUGCUAGGAUGCUGGCGUAAUGGCUGUAAGCGGCCCGUCUUGAAACACGGACCAAGGAGUCUAACAUCUAUGCGAGUGUUUGGGUGUCAAGCCCAGACGCGUAAUGAAAGUGAACGGAGGUAGGAACCCUUUGGGCGCACUAUCGACCGAUCCUGAUGUCUUCGGAAGGAUUUGAGUAAGAGCAUGGCUGUUGGGACCCGAAAGAUGGUGAACUAUGCUUGAAUAGGGUGAAGCCAGAGGAAACUCUGGUGGAGGCUCGCAGCGGUUCUGACGUGCAAAUCGAUCGUCAAAUUUGGGCAUAGGGGCGAAAGACUAAUCGAAC
Molecule: ribosomal RNA, 882 nt
Filed under: Ophiobolus artemisiicola
Lineage: Eukaryota; Fungi; Ascomycota; Dothideomycetes; Pleosporales; Phaeosphaeriaceae
Description: eukaryotic LSU rRNA
Rfam family: Eukaryotic large subunit ribosomal RNA
Source: RNAcentral